UGAACGCUGGCGGCGUGCCUCAUACAUGCAAGUCGAGCGAACAGACGAGGAGCUUGCUCCUCUGACGUUAGCGGCGGACGGGUGAGUAACACGUGGAUAACCUACCUAUAAGACUGGGAUAACUUCGGGAAACCGGAGCUAAUACCGGAUAAUAUAUUGAACCGCAUGGUUCAAUAGUGAAAGACGGUUUUGCUGUCACUUAUAGAUGGAUCCGCGCCGCAUUAGCUAGUUGGUAAGGUAACGGCUUACCAAGGCGACGAUGCGUAGCCGACCUGAGAGGGUGAUCGGCCACACUGGAACUGAGACACGGUCCAGACUCCUACGGGAGGCAGCAGUAGGGAAUCUUCCGCAAUGGGCGAAAGCCUGACGGAGCAACGCCGCGUGAGUGAUGAAGGUCUUCGGAUCGUAAAACUCUGUUAUUAGGGAAGAACAAAUGUGUAAGUAACUAUGCACGUCUUGACGGUACCUAAUCAGAAAGCCACGGCUAACUACGUG
This 495-nucleotide ribosomal RNA is filed under the name uncultured bacterium. RNAcentral's name for it is "partial 16S ribosomal RNA". It matches the Rfam family "Bacterial small subunit ribosomal RNA", at positions 30 to 507 of the family's 1533-position model. The record is from RNAcentral.